AUACGUAGGGUGCGAGCGUUGUCCGGAAUUACUGGGCGUAAAGAGCUCGUAGGUGGUUUGUCGCGUCGUCUGUGAAAUUCCGGGGCUUAACUCCGGGCGUGCAGGCGAUACGGGCAUAACUUGAGUACUGUAGGGGAGACUGGAAUUCAUGGUGUAGCGGUGAAAUGCGCAGAUAUCAGGAGGAACACCGGUGGCGAAGGCGGUUCUCUGGGCAGUAACUGACGCUGAGGAGCGAAAGCAUGGGUAGCGAACAGGAUUAGAUACCCUGGUAGUCCAUGCCGUAAACGGUGGGUGCUAGGUGUAGGGGUCUUCCACGACUUCUGUGCCGUAGCUAACGCAUUAAGCGCCCCGCCUGGGGAGUACGGCCGCAAGGCUAAAACUCAAAGGAAUUGACGGGG
Molecule: ribosomal RNA, 398 nt
Filed under: uncultured bacterium
Lineage: Bacteria
Description: partial 16S ribosomal RNA
Rfam family: Bacterial small subunit ribosomal RNA
Source: RNAcentral